UGUAGGGUGAACCUGCGGAAGGAUCAUU
RNAcentral lists this ribosomal RNA (28 nucleotides) under Falciformispora lignatilis. RNAcentral describes it as "partial 18S ribosomal RNA". The record is from RNAcentral. Lineage: Eukaryota; Fungi; Ascomycota; Dothideomycetes; Pleosporales; Trematosphaeriaceae.